This 302-nucleotide ribosomal RNA is filed under the name uncultured bacterium. Its description in RNAcentral is "partial 16S ribosomal RNA". It matches the Rfam family "Bacterial small subunit ribosomal RNA", at positions 508 to 809 of the family's 1533-position model. The record is from RNAcentral.
GCAGCCGCCGCGGGAAUACAGAGGGUGCGAGCGUUAAUCGGAUUUACUGGGCGUAAAGCGUGCGUAGGCGGCUUUUUAAGUCGGAUGUGAAAUCCAUGAGCUUAACUUAGGAAUUGCAUUCGAUACUGGGAAGCUAGAGUAUGGGAGAGGAUGGUAGAAUUCCAGGUGUAGCGGUGAAAUGCGUAGAGAUCUGGAGGAAUACCGAUGGCGAAGGCAGCCAUCUGGCCUAAUACUGACGCUGAGGUACGAAAGCAUGGGGAGCAAACAGGAUUAGAUACCCCUGUAGUCCCUGUCUCUUAUAU